Capsicum annuum is the source of this 795-nucleotide long non-coding RNA. RefSeq lists it as uncharacterized. The record is from RefSeq and is a predicted model, not a curated record. The transcript is spliced from 6 exons. NCBI's taxonomy places the organism in Eukaryota, Viridiplantae, Streptophyta, Magnoliopsida, Solanales, Solanaceae.
GUGAGUUUUUUUUUAUUCCUUUUCCUGCAGAUCUAUAAUUUUGAGUCACUGACUCAUCUCAUCUCUUAAAGUCUAUAAUUUUAUCUCUACUAUCUGAAAUAUUAUUCGGAGUUCAUGAAAUUUCUAAUCUAAGGACAUGCUUCUGUGACUACACAAAUAACUGCCUGCGCCUCUAUCUUCGGAGUAGUAUCAACAUCACGUAGAUGUGAAGUAACCGAAAAGUCUUCGACUCCACUGAAUGCUUCAAAUAAAGGAUCUGAGACACAGUCCUGGGGUCCCGUUCAACAGUAGAUUCGUGUGUGAGAAGUUGCAGUUGGAAUGACUCUCGCAUUAGAGGACUUCCUUAUUCGCGCCCGAGUAUUAAAGCUGUACCGACAUGCUCUAAGAAUAUCAAGGAAAGAACCUUCUCAUGCUAGAGCUGAUUUGAGGCAGAUUAUAAGACAAGAGAUGGAGAAUAAUAGGAAUUGCAAUGACAAGCAAAGAAUCCAGUUCUUGAUUAGUGAUGGAUUGGAAAGAGUGAAAUGUUUGGAUGAGACGCUUGAUAUGCAAGGCCGUUGAUAUAAAUAUAAUGUGUAUUAUGGUAUAGAUUACAUCUUGCAGCGCUACCAGUGUAAUCUCCUGUUCGAUUAAUCAGAGAUGUGCUGCAAACAUAGGCGGUUCAUGCGCUUUAGCUAUCUCUACAUGGGUAUAUGCCAUGUUUUCGCCUAUCGGUGCUUAUUUUUGUCCAACUUGCCUCCAAUUAUGCAAUGGUCAUGACUGAUCCUCUUCUAAACAUAUGAGUUUGAAUGUUCUCUU